AGGGUUCGAUUCUGGCUCAGGAUGAACGCUGGCGGCGUGCUUAACACAUGCAAGUCGAACGGGAUCCAUCAGGCUUUGCUUGGUGGUGAGAGUGGCGAACGGGUGAGUAAUGCGUGACCGACCUGCCCCAUGCACCGGAAUAGCUCCUGGAAACGGGUGGUAAUGCCGGAUGCUCCAUCACAUCGCAUGGUGUGUUGGGAAAGCCUUUGCGGCAUGGGAUGGGGUCGCGUCCUAUCAGCUUGAUGGCGGGGUAACGGCCCACCAUGGCUUCGACGGGUAGCCGGCCUGAGAGGGCGACCGGCCACAUUGGGACUGAGAUACGGCCCAGACUCCUACGGGAGGCAGCAGUGGGGAAUAUUGCACAAUGGGCGCAAGCCUGAUGCAGCGACGCCGCGUGAGGGAUGGAGGCCUUCGGGUUGUAAACCUCUUUUGUUAGGGAGCAAGGCACUUUGUGUUGAGUGUACCUUUCGAAUAAGCACCGGCUAACUACGUGCCAGCAGCCGCGGUAAUACGUAGGGUGCAAGCGUUAUCCGGAAUUAUUGGGCGUAAAGGGCUCGUAGGCGGUUCGUCGCGUCCGGUGUGAAAGUCCAUCGCUUAACGGUGGAUCCGCGCCGGGUACGGGCGGGCUUGAGUGCGGUAGGGGAGACUGGAAUUCCCGGUGUAACGGUGGAAUGUGUAGAUAUCGGGAAGAACACCAAUGGCGAAGGCAGGUCUCUGGGCCGUUACUGACGCUGAGGAGCGAAAGCGUGGGGAGCGAACAGGAUUAGAUACCCUGGUAGUCCACGCCGUAAACGGUGGAUGCUGGAUGUGGGGCCCGUUCCACGGGUUCCGUGUCGGAGCU
This 841-nucleotide ribosomal RNA is filed under the name human gut metagenome. RNAcentral describes it as "bacterial SSU rRNA". It matches the Rfam family "Bacterial small subunit ribosomal RNA", at positions 8 to 853 of the family's 1533-position model. The record is from RNAcentral.